GUGCCAGCAGCAGCGGUAAUACCGGCAGCUCGAGUGGUCGUCGCUUUUAUUGGGCCUAAAACGUCCGUAGCCUGUUUGGUAAAUCUGUGGGUAAAUCAACCAGCUUAACUGGUUGAAUUCUGCAGAGACUGCCAGACUAGGGACCGGGAGAGGUGUGGGGUACUCUCGGGGUAGGGGUAAAAUCCUGUCAUCCUGGGAGGACCACCAGUUGCGAAGGCGCCACACUGGAACGGAUCCGACGGUCAGGGACGAAGCCUAGGGGCACGAACCGGAUUAGAUACCCGGGUAGUCCUAGGAGUAAACGCUGUGAACUUGGUGUCGGGGAUCCUACUUGGGUUCCCGGUGCCGGAGUGAAGAUGUUAAGUUCACUGCCUGGGGAGUACGGUCGCAAGGCUGAGACUUAAAGGAAUUGGCGGGGGAGCACUGCAACGGGAGGAGCGUGCGGUUUAAUUGGAUUCAACGCCGGAAAACUCACCAAGGCCGACUGUUAGAUGAAGACCAGCGUAAUGAGCUUGUCGGAUUUUCAGAGAGGUGGUGCAUGGCCGUCGUCAGUUCGUACUGCAAAGCGUUCUGUUAAGUCAGAUAACGAACGAGACCCGCAUCCCUAUUUGCCACCCUGUUCUCCGGAGCAGGCGCACCAUAGGGAGACCGCUGGUGUUAAACCAGAGGAAGGGGAGGGCAACGGUAGGUCAGUAUGCUCCGAAUGCUAUGGGCUACACGCGCAAUACAAAGGACAGGACAAUGGGCUGCUGCUCCGAAAGGAAUGAUAGCUAUCCCGAAACCUGUUCGUAGUUCGGAUUGAGGGCUGUAACUCGCCCUCAUGAAGCUGGAUUAGGUAGUAAUCGCGUCUCAAAAAGGCGCGGUGAAUAUGCCCCUGCUCCUUGCACUCACCGCCCGUC
RNAcentral lists this ribosomal RNA (899 nucleotides) under uncultured marine archaeon. RNAcentral's name for it is "SSU rRNA". It matches the Rfam family "Archaeal small subunit ribosomal RNA", at positions 455 to 1354 of the family's 1478-position model. The record is from RNAcentral.